GGUGAACGCUGGCGGUAGGCCUAACACAUGCAAGUCGAACGGCAGCACAGUAAGAGCUUGCUCUUACGGGUGGCGAGUGGCGGACGGGCGAGGAAUACAUCGGAAUCUACUUUUUCGUGGGGGAUAACGUAGGGAAACUUACGCUAAUACCGCAUACGACCUACGGGUGAAAGCAGGGGAUCUUCGGACCUUGCGCGAUUGAAUGAGCCGAUGUCGGAUUAGCUAGUUGGCGGGGUAAAGGCCCACCAAGGCGACGAUCCGUAGCUGGUCUGAGAGGAUGAUCGGCCACACUGGAACUGAGACACGGUCCAGACUCCUACGGGAGGCAGCAGUGGGGAAUAUUGGACAAUGGGCGCAAGCCUGAUCCAGCCAUACCGCGUGGGUGAAGAAGGCCUUCGGGUUGUAAAGCCCUUUUGUUGGGAAAGAAAAGCAGCAGGUUAAUACCCCGCUGUUCUGACGGUACCCAAAGAAUAAGCACCGGCUAACUUCGUG
RNAcentral lists this ribosomal RNA (492 nucleotides) under uncultured bacterium. RNAcentral describes it as "partial 16S ribosomal RNA". It matches the Rfam family "Bacterial small subunit ribosomal RNA", at positions 28 to 507 of the family's 1533-position model. The record is from RNAcentral.